RNAcentral lists this small nucleolar RNA (150 nucleotides) under Macaca fascicularis (crab-eating macaque). RNAcentral's name for it is "Small nucleolar RNA SNORA48 (ENSMFAG00000035205.2)". It matches the Rfam family "Small nucleolar RNA SNORA48". From Rfam's summary of the family: The snoRNA ACA 48 has been identified to guide pseudouridylation of the residue U3797 in the 28S rRNA subunit. Its host gene EIF4A1 (eukaryotic translation initiation factor 4A1) is shared with U67 and snoRNA mgU6-77 Lineage: Eukaryota; Metazoa; Chordata; Mammalia; Primates; Cercopithecidae. The record is from Rfam by way of RNAcentral.
AACUCCAGCCUGGGCGACAGAGCCAGACUCUGUCUAAAAAAAAGCUUGAUGGUGCCCAUCUCAUGUCAGCCAGGAACAAAGCAAUCCCUUGUUUAUCCCAGCUUGGCUUCUGGUCUAUGCCCAUGCCUGGUUUAUGCUUUGGACACAUAG